This 2549-nucleotide long non-coding RNA is filed under the name Triticum aestivum (bread wheat). RNAcentral's name for it is "long non-coding RNA (TAES_LNC010349)". Lineage: Eukaryota; Viridiplantae; Streptophyta; Magnoliopsida; Poales; Poaceae. The record is from RNAcentral.
UCCUAAGUCGGGGAUGGCUCCGAUUACCAACUUGUAACACCCACAAUGCAGCUAUAUCUCCCACGUGUCGUAGCACGACUUAGAGGCAUAGCUGCAUUGUAGUUUUGUCGCAAGAGGGUUAAUCUUCACACAAUCCCAUGUACUGAAUAAGAAAGGGAUAAAGAGUUGGCUUACAAUUGCCACUUCACAAAAAUACAAGUUAAACAUACAUCAUCCAGAGUACAAUCAAGGUCCGACUACAGAACCAAAAUAAGAGAAGACAACCCCAAUUGCUAGAUCUCCGAUCGUCCCAACUGGGCUCCACUACUGAUCAUCUAAAAAAGAUACAAAACAACGACCAAGAUCUUCAUCGAGCUCCCACUUGAGCUCGGUUGCGCCACCUGCACUGUUAUCAUCGUCACCUGCAACUAUUUGGAAGUAUCUGUGAGUCAUGAGGAUUCAGCAAUCUCACACCCGCAAGGUCAAGACUAUUUAAGCUUAUGGGUAGGAUAGUGUGAUGAGGUGGAGCUGCAGCAAGCGCUAAGCAAAUAUGGUGGCUAACAUACGCAAAUGAGAGCGAGAAGAGAAGCAACGCAACAAUCGUGAAGGUAGAAACGAUCAAGAAGUGAUCUUGAAACUACUUACGCACAACCAUAACACAAGAACCGUGUUCACUUCCCAGACUCCGCCAGAAAGAGACCAUCACGGCUACACACGCGAUUGAUGCAUUUUAAUUAACUCAAGUGUCAAGUUCUCUACAGCCAGACAAAUUCCCAUCUGCCACAUAACCGUGGGCACGGCUUUCAAAAGUUUAUACCCUGAAGGGGUGUCCCAACUUAGCCCAUCACAAGCUCUCACGGUCAACGAAGGAUAUUCCUUCUCCCGGGAAGACCCGAUCAGUAUCACAAUCUCAAUUAUAAGACAUUUCGACAAUGGUAAAACAAUACGAUCAAAGCCGCCCGAAUGUGCCAACAAAUCCCGAUAGGAGCUGCACAUAUCUCGUUCUCAGGGCACACCGGAUGAGCAAUCCGUACAACUAAAACCGGCCCUCAAGUUUCCCCGAGGUGGCACUACAAGGGGCUCUAGUUCGGACCAACACUUAGAGAAGCACUGGCCUAGGGGGGUUAAAAUAAAGAUGACCCUCGGGUUGGCUGACCCAAGGGAAAGGUGUAGGUUGUUAGGCAAAUGUAAAACCAAGGUUGGGCCUUGCUAGAGGAGUUUUAUUCAAGGCGAACUGUCAAGGGGUUCCCAUAACACCCAACCGCGUAAGGAACGCAAAAUCAAGGAACAUAAUACCGGUAUGUCAGAAAACUAGGGCGGCAAGAGUGGAACAAAACCCCAGGCAUAAGGCUGAGCCUUCCACCCUUUACCAAGUAUAUAGAUGCAUUAAUUAAAAUAAGAGAUAUUGUGAUAUCCCAACAUAUCCAUGUUCCAACAUGGAACAAACUUCAGCUUCACUUGCAACUAACAACGCUAUAAGAGGGGCUGAGCAAAAGCGGUAACUUAGCCAAACAACGGUUUGCUAGGAAGGUGGGUUAGAGGCUUGACAUGGCAAUAUGGGGGGCAUGAUAUAACAAGUGGUACGUAGCGCGACAUGGCGAUAGAAUAAACAACUAGCAAGCAAAGAUAGAAGUGAUUUUGAAGGUAUGGCCAUCUUGCCUGAGAUCCCGCAAGGAAGAAGAAUGAGUCCAUGAAGAAGGCAAAUGGACGUAGUCGAACGGAUCCUCACAACACUGGAGCGAAAACAAAUCUAACAAGAGAAGCAACCCGGAAAGAAGCAAGAAACAUAGUAAACAACCAUCACAUAAGCAUGGCAUGAUGUGCAAACAAGUAUGAUGUAUGUCCGGUCUAAAGAGGCAUGACAUGGCAAAGUGCACAAACAAUACUAUAAAUUAAGUGGAGCUCAAUAUGCAACGAGAAGCAUAUUGACGAAACACCAUAUGACUUGUUUAGUUCUCUCUCGGUUAUGUUCCCAACAUGAAAUGUUGUUAAACAUGGCAAGAGGGUGAAGCAUAAUAAAACUACUUAUCUAGGCAAGUUUAAAUGAGGCCGGAAAUAACAAACAACAAGUCCGAAAAAAUCCUCAUGGGCAUGUUUUAGGUUUGGUACUGUUCUGCCCUAAACCAUAUUUUAGAGUUGUUAAACAUGCAAAGUAAUUCCACCAUAUUAAACUAGACAUUUUUCUACCACAUUUACAUAUAAAGUUUAUUUAAAACCGAGCUAUGGUUAAAUAGUUAUGAAAUAAAGUAUUUUAACAUGGCAUAUAAGCAAAUUUAACAAACAACAAGUUUAAGCAUUUUAAACAUGCAUGAAAGUUGGAAAUUAUUAAUCUACACAAAAAUCUAAGUACUUUACAUAUGAUGCACGGUUAAUUAGUAAUUAGAUGCAUGAAGUCUAGGGACUUUUCUGUAAAACACUAGUAAAACACUGGAUAAUUCGCUAAACAUCCAGAACGGAAAAAAACUACGCGGGUCGAAACUGGUGUACUGCUGGGCGCUGGAUCUGAGGGGUGCUCACCAUGGGCCCUCAGGCCAGCUGGUGGAGAGGCUUGGCCGCAACGUCUUACUGAG